GGGAGUGGCAAACGGCUGAGUAACGCGUAGGAACCUACCCCAAACUCGAGUAUAGCCCCGCGAAAGCGGGGGUAAUCCUCGAUAGUCCGUGAAGUAUUUUACUUCACGGUAAAGCUUUUGCGGUUUGGGAUGGGCCUGCGUCCUAUCAGGUAGUUGGUGAGGUAAGUGCUCACCAAGCCUAUGACGGGUAGCUGGUCUGAGAGGAUGGUCAGCCAGACUGGGACUGCGACACGGCCCAGACUCCUACGGGAGGCAGCAACUAGGAAUUGUGCGCAAUGGACGAAAGUCUGACGCCGCGACAUCGCGUGGAGGAUGAAGGUCUUCGGAUUGUAAACUCCUUUUCUUACCGAACAAGUCCUGAGUGUAGGUAAGGAAUAAGUGCCUGCUAACCACGUGCCAGAAGCAUCGGUAAUACGUGGGGCACGAGCGUUAUCCGGAUUUACUGGGCGUAAAGAGAAGCGUAGGCGGCUCGAUAAGUUUGGUGUUAAAUCUUCCGGCUCAACCGGAAACAAGCACCGAAAACUAUCGAGAUUGAGUCGAGUAGGGAAGAGGGGAAUUCCUGGUGGAGCGGUUAAAUGCGUAGAUAUCAGGGGGAAUACCAAGGGCGAAGGCACCUCUUUGGACUCGUACUGACGCUGAGGCUCGAAAGCGUGGGUAGCAAAACGGAUUAGAUACCCGUGUAGUCCACGCCGUAAACGAUCCCUGUUAGAUGUAUGUUUUGUCUGUUUAUUUUUCCUUCGGGAAGGGUCAAGGGCCAAGAUGUGUGUCGUAGUUCACGCGUUAAACAGGGCGCCUGGGAAGUACG
Molecule: ribosomal RNA, 805 nt
Filed under: uncultured organism
Description: bacterial SSU rRNA
Rfam family: Bacterial small subunit ribosomal RNA
Source: RNAcentral